Long non-coding RNA from Dermochelys coriacea (leatherback sea turtle), 3247 nucleotides. RefSeq lists it as uncharacterized. The record is from RefSeq and is a predicted model, not a curated record. The transcript has 3 exons. Lineage: Eukaryota; Metazoa; Chordata; Testudines; Dermochelyidae.
CUUUAGCUCUGCAGAGAGAAGAGCUAGCUACUCAGAGGAAGUGGUGAAGGGGACAAUAUGGCUGUCACUCUUCAGUCCAGGUUUGUGAUUUUUUUCAGUAGCUCUUCACUGAGGAUUCUGACAAAGGACAACUAACUCUGAAGUGACUGACUGAAGCCCAGCCCAGCCAAGGUCCAUUUUCAGUAGAGGUGAGAGAGCUCGGAAAAAUCUCACCUUUUGUCUUGCCGUGGAAACUGACUUCCAGAUUGAUGAUUUCAAGUCUCAAUGACAGGAAAGCCAUCAAAAAUAAAGAGCACCAUGAUAUCCCAACCGCUUCCACUAUCUGGAAUUCACUGGACAGAUAAGCUGGAAAUGCAAUAAUGGGAACUGCAAUAUCUAAUUGACUUUUAAUGAAUAAAAAUGUAAUUUAGGAAAGAGAGUAGGCAGUAUUAAGAAUAAUGACUACUAGGACUUCAAAGAACUACUGCAUCUUUUAACUUUAAAGGAAAUUAACAGCUUGAAACAAGAAAUGGAAAAUGAGAGUUUAGUGCUUGUUAUGGUUUAAUGAUGUUUGGCAGUUCUUCCACUGUUGGAAGAAUGAUAAUUUUUAAAGCUUUGUGGUAGUCUGAAAUGUGAAUAUUAAUUGUAGGAUUAAUUUCUGUGAAGGUUCAGUUAUUUUGAACUGUUUUACGUGCCAGUGACUUAUGAUUUCAUAUGAAUUCUUGGGUGACUCAAAAAGGCAAAACUCACAUUUCUUGGAAUGAGUCCACUUGGGAAUAUGUCUAGACUAGGUAUAUGGGUUGUGUUUAAAACUGACUUUAUUGCAACAUCCUAAUGGACCCAUUUUCAAACAUAAACACAACCUAUGUUUUAAACUAGGCAGGACUGUGUGUGUGUGUGAAGGAAGGAUGAAAGGGAAAGGAAAGUGAAUGUUUGUUUCUGAUCUUCAGGAUAAGAGAAGAAAAGGUUCUAAAGACAAACUGAGUUCAGGGUGCUCAGUGCCUCGGUAGUGUGUGCCUCCAGUAGGUGUUUAUGCAUUAUUGUGAAAGUAGAAGAGGCUUUCCCCCAUUCACUCUAGUAGUCAAGCAGCGCAUUUUACAUUGUGAAGAGCUACUUUUCCUUAUGAACCCAAUGAACAUGACACUCCCUCUCUAGAUCAGUUAUUCUUGCUCUUCCUUUUCUGAGAGCAGGAGGAAGCCUCAAUUUUUGCUCUCAGUAACACCAGUUUUCAGAGUAGCAGCCGUGUUAGUCUGUAUUCGCAAAAAGAAAAGGAGUACUUGUGGCACCUUAGAGACUAACAAAUUUAUUUGAGCAUAAGCUUUCGUGAGCUACAGCUCACUUCAUCGGAUAGCUGUCUGCACUCUUUGUAGGAAGUAAGACACAGAGGAACUAUUGCAACUAUCAUCUAUUAUUUGUGUUACAAUAACAGCUAAAAGCCUUAAUCAAGACUGGUGCCCCACUGUGCUGUAUAUACCAGAACACACAGAAAGAGACAGUUCCUGCCUCAAAGAACUUGCCAUCUUAGUGCUUGGGUCCAGCAGACAUUUAAUUGCUCAAUUGCAAGCUUUAUAAAGUAUCAGAGUCUGAUUUGGACUGGUAUAGGGCCAGACUUGUGCUAGAGGAAGAGACAAUACUAGCUGAGAGACAACAUUGUGAUUUAAUUUAAGGAAACUCUAGCUGUGAGUAGCACUUACAAUGUAAUUUAGUUAACUCAGGUUGCAGGACCCCCCUUUUUUUUCCCCCUUUCAUUUAUUUUCACCCAAAACCAACUUGCCAUUAGUUUAAAUUUACCCAAUGCAGACAAUAAACAAAAUCUUUUUAUGGUGUGAUCCUCUUCACUAUGUGCAGUUUUAUCCAUUCUUAUUUCAUUUUCUUGCUGUGACCACUGAAGUUAACUGGGAUUUCAGCAUGAAUAAAAAAUAUCAUUAAUUUCUCCCUGCUGCCUCUUAAAAUUUGCUGGAAAGAUGUUUUCACCCCCAACCCUAUGUGGCAUACUCAGAUUAAAUAAUAUGGGUUUUUUAUAUACACUGGAGAGCCAUUUUUAUGAUUUCACUUAAGAAAAAUGGUCAGAAGCCAUCUUCUGACCAUUUCUUUUCUCUGUUUAAUUUCUAAGAGAAUUUAAUGCUCAUGAAAGAUGUCAGAUUAACAGCAUUACAAAUUGAAGUCCUCCACCCACAGAAUAGUACAAUAUGGGCAGCAUGCAAGUGUCCCACGCCCUACACUCACCAUCUCACCAAUAUGUCUCAACUAGAGCUAGAUGAAUUAUUUCCAAAGAAUGAUUUAUCUGACAAAUUUCACCUCUUUCUCUGGUCACAAACUGCCCAAGCUGAUCAUGAGUUAUCUUGAAUUCUAAAUUAUAUUUUGAAUGUAUUGGAAAUUAUCCACUGAAUGAUUUCUGGGGAUAACUCUGGAGAUUAUGAUCUGUUCAUUGGGAGUAUUUGAUAGUUGAGACUUACUGAUUAGACACAAGUCUAAUAAAUCAAAAGUUAUGAACCCAAACAUUUGCAAGUAUUGCAAUUCACAGUUAAGGUACAAAAACAUACCUUAACUCUGCCCCUACAGCCAUGCUCUCAGAAAAUCCAAAACUCAGACCGCUUUAUCCACAACUUUUCAUUUUAUCAGUCAUGGCAAAAUGAGACUGCUUUUAUUCUUAAAGUUCAAUUACAAAGCUUUUUUUUUAUUUAUAGCUGAUGAGACUUGCAGGCUGUGAAGACCAGAUUCUCAAACUGAGAGCUGUUACAGACCUGUAUUCUCUGUGGGCUGGGCACAGAGGAGGAUACCUAAUGCACACUGACCAGUGGGUUACACUAACAUAUAUGGCACUAGUUAGAGAAAUUCAGAAAGCUUUAGUCCCCUUUAAUCGUGCAAUCUUCAUUCAUAUUCCAAGAAAAACCCCACCUUACUCAUUUCUGAUUAGGAAAUAGGAUACUGAAGGAAAAUCAUUCCCCACAGAAUCUCAAGCUCCUCUCUUAGGGCAGUUUUUGGCUCCUUUGUGUCUCAGAAAAGUCAACGAUGAAUUGGAUCAAGAGCUGAGGAUCUGGCCAAGUAACUCGGCUCCUGUUCACCUUGGUUACUCAGGCAUGUAUGGAUUCAUUACUCUUAUUAGUUCCAAACUUUCUCAGAACGUGCCAUAUGCAAAUAAAUUUUGACAAAAACUUUAGCAUUUGCUUUGCUUAUUUAUUUAUUUCUUUUAAAUCUGAUUGCACUUGGGGGUUUGAUUUCCCCUUUGCAUUUUCACCUUUGCAAAAUGAAUGCAAUCUUAGUAUAA